CCUGGUGUCGAUGGUGCGGUGGAACCACGCUGACCCCAUUCGAACUCAGGUGUGAAACGUCGAAACGGCGACGAUAGUUGAAGGGUAGCCUCCUGCAACAAUAGCUCGAUGCUAGGG
Molecule: ribosomal RNA, 117 nt
Filed under: Cyanobacteria bacterium FACHB-502
Lineage: Bacteria; Bacillati; Cyanobacteriota
Also listed under: 3 other names
Source: RNAcentral